This 648-nucleotide small RNA is filed under the name Pan troglodytes (chimpanzee). RNAcentral describes it as "processed transcript". The record is from RNAcentral. Lineage: Eukaryota; Metazoa; Chordata; Mammalia; Primates; Hominidae.
CGGCAAGUGGAGGCGCUGGAGCGAGCGGCCCGGGAGAAGGAGGCGCUAGCCAAGGAGCGUGCUGGCCUGGCUGUGCAGCUGGUGGCUGCGGAGCGUGAAGGCAGGACCCUGUCAGAGGAGGCCACACGCCUGCGCUUGGAGAAGGAAGCCCUGGAGGGCAGCCUGUUUGAGGUGCAACGGCAGCUGGCCCAGCUUGAGGCCCGCCGGGAGCAGCUGGAAGCCGAGGGGCAGGCCCUGCUGCUGGCCAAGGAGACCCUGACUGGGGAGUUGGCGGGCCUGCGGCAGCAAAUAAUAGCUACACAGGAGAAAGCCAGUCUAGACAAGGAGCUGAUGGCCCAGAAGCUGGUGCAGGCUGAGCGGGAGGCCCAGGCCUCUCUGCGGGAGCAGCGGGCAGCCCACGAGGAGGACUUACAGCGACUCCAGCGUGAAAAGGUUCAGGCAGCUGGGGAGGGGUGGGCAGGACUCUGAGCCAGUGUUUCAUCAUCGUUCUUGCUCUGCCUCGGUCUCUACAUCUGUGAAAUGGGACUUCCUAUCUGUUGUGGAGGCCCUGGGGACAGCUAGGAGGACUGGGGGGAUGGGGAGGUUGUGGUUCUUAUUAGACAUGCAGAUUCCCAGGUCCCAAAUCUGGUCCAGCCCUGGUAAUCCUGA